RNAcentral lists this ribosomal RNA (492 nucleotides) under uncultured bacterium. RNAcentral describes it as "partial 16S ribosomal RNA". It matches the Rfam family "Bacterial small subunit ribosomal RNA", at positions 29 to 507 of the family's 1533-position model. The record is from RNAcentral.
AGUGAACGCUGGCGGUAGGCCUAACACAUGCAAGUCGAACGGCAGCACAGUAAGAGCUUGCUCUUACGGGUGGCGAGUGGCGGACGGGUGAGGAAUACAUCGGAAUCUACUUUUUCGUGGGGGAUAACGUAGGGAAACUUACGCUAAUACCGCAUACGACCUACGGGUGAAAGCAGGGGAUCUUCGGACCUUGCGCGAUUGAAUGAGCCGAUGUCGGAUUAGCCAGUUGGCGGGGUAAAGGCCCACCAAGGCGACGAUCCGUAGCUGGUCUGAGAGGAUGAUCAACCGCACUGGAACUGAGACACGGUCCAGACUCCUACGGGAGGCAGCAGUGGGGAAUAUUAGACAAUGGGCGCAAGCCUGAUCCAGCCAUACCGCGUGGGUGAAGAAGGCCUUCGGGUUGUAAAGCCCUUUUGUUGGGAAAGAAAAGCAGCAGGUUAAGACCCCGCUGUUCUGACGGUACCCAAAGAAUAAGCACCGGCUAACUUCGUG